CCUACGGGAGGCAGCAGUGAGGAAUAUUGGUCAAUGGACGCGAGUCUGAACCAGCCAAGUAGCGUGAAGGAUGACUGCCCUACGGGUUGUAAACUUCUUUUAUAAGGGAAUAAAAUGAUGCACGUGUGGGAUUUUGUAUGUACCAUAUGAAUAAGGAUCGGCUAACUCCGUGCAAGCAGCCGCGGUAAUACGGAGGAUGCGAGCGUUAUCCGGAUUUAGUGGGUUUAAAGGGUGCGUAGGUGGGUUGUUAAGUCAGUUGUGAAAGUUUGCGGCUCAACCGUAAAAUUGCAAUUGAUACUGGCAGUCUUGAGUACAGUAGAGGUAGGCGGAAUUCGUGGUGUAGCGGUGAAAUGCUUAGAUAUCACGAAGAACACCGAUUGCGAAGGCAGCUUACUGGACUGCAACUGACACUGAGGCUCGAAAGUGUGGGUAUCAAACAGGAUUAGAUACCCUAGUAGUC
This 460-nucleotide ribosomal RNA is filed under the name uncultured bacterium. RNAcentral's name for it is "partial 16S ribosomal RNA". It matches the Rfam family "Bacterial small subunit ribosomal RNA", at positions 338 to 795 of the family's 1533-position model. The record is from RNAcentral.